AGGUCCGAUCAUACCAGAAUUAAUGCACCGGAUCCCAUCAGAACUCCGCAGUCAAGCGUGCUAGGGCGAGAGUAGUACUAGGAAGGUUGACCUCCUAGGAAAUCCUCCUGUUGCACCUC
Molecule: ribosomal RNA, 119 nt
Filed under: Lupinus angustifolius (narrow-leaved blue lupine)
Lineage: Eukaryota; Viridiplantae; Streptophyta; Magnoliopsida; Fabales; Fabaceae
Source: RNAcentral